Bombyx mori (domestic silkworm) is the source of this 925-nucleotide long non-coding RNA. RefSeq lists it as uncharacterized. Lineage: Eukaryota; Metazoa; Arthropoda; Insecta; Lepidoptera; Bombycidae. The record is from RefSeq and is a predicted model, not a curated record. The transcript has 2 exons.
UUUUUAUUUAUUACGUAGACGUAUUUAAUUAAAAACGCCAAGGCAAAUGAAUGACAUAUUUAUAUAUUUAUAAAUCCGUUUGGAAGCUAUUGACAAUGUGUUAAACUCUGGAAAAUGGAUAAAAUAUAUAACCAUCGUUUUUCACUUUCUACGAAACAAUCUAACGAAGUGUUAGUAAAUUCACAACAUUUACUAAGAGUUAAGUCUAUUCAACAUUAUUUUACUUUUUUUUCAUUAGAUAGCUUCUGCCUUACAAUUGAAAGACCUUACGGGCGCACAAACCUUUGUCUAUCAAUUCAGCAAAUCAAAUGAAAAUUUAAAAGUCUAUGGCGGCCAGCCGACAGUUAAAAUUAUUUUCAAAAACAUUAAUUAGGUAAAAGGCUUCAAGUUUUAGUUUUUUUCAUUUUCUGACUAUCAUUUUUAUCAUGACAUCAGUGGCACCAUCAGAUUCCGAAUCAAAUGUGAGCGGAUUCGUCCGAUAUAGUGAUAAAAGUUUCAAACACUUGUACACAUCUGUUUUAGAGAAAUUGGAAUUAAUAAAUCAAGACAUUCUGCAGAUUGAAAACAAUUUAAAAAAUUUAAUACAACAUGCCGGUCCUUUAGAGAGUCAACUUUCAGCAGUACUCCACUCGUUACCGAAGCCGAAUACAAAUACAGCAAUGGAAACUGAAUGAGUAAUUGAAAUUUAAAUUUAUGAAUUAUAAAUUUUCAUUGUCAAAUCUAAUUUAUUGCAAAUCUUCACAAAGCCAAAAAAGGACUUUUUGGUUUUUCUAUGAUAAAAGACAAGUCUUCAAGCUAAGACUGAAUUUUUAAAAAUCUUUAAAAAAUAAUUAUUAUAAUAGUGUUGAGAGAAUGUAUAGUGAUAAGCUUAAUCCAUAUUCUUUACCUUAAAUUUAUGUAAAUAAAAAUUAGUGUAAAAGUAAAA